RNAcentral lists this ribosomal RNA (421 nucleotides) under Anurida granaria. RNAcentral describes it as "partial 28S ribosomal RNA". Lineage: Eukaryota; Metazoa; Arthropoda; Collembola; Poduromorpha; Neanuridae. The record is from RNAcentral.
CCUCUCGGGGGUAAGCGGGCAGAACUUGCAAGUAUUGGCAAGAGAUUCAGACUUGGAUUUGAUGGUUGAGUUACUUUCAUUAAGUUGUUCAUUCGUGAACUGACUGAUGUUUGUACUUUAUUCCAUUAAAAAUGUGUCGCAUUUCUCUUUGUCAUCCGGGUUGCAUGCAACUGAUUUUUGGUAGUUUAGGUACUGAGAGUCUGUGAGUCUAUCUUUUUAGAUUCAAGUCUUGGUUUUCCAACUACUAAUGCGGUUGUAAGAAAAUAGCGAACAAGCGUGUGACGCGGUCAAUUACUAUUACGAGUCGUGUAUGUAUUGUGUAUGGACGAGUAAUCGUAGUAUACUUUACGUACUGGUUGUCAGUGACAGUAAUUUUGGCAUUGUUCAGUAUUGCAAUCUAAAGCAUGCGUGGUCUGCCUGU